ACAAAAUUGACAUUUGUGAGACAAAAUUGACUUUUGUGAGACAAAAUUGACAAAAUUGAAUUUUGUCUCACAAAAGUCGAUUGUGUAUGCAAAUU
RNAcentral lists this small RNA (95 nucleotides) under Mytilus galloprovincialis (Mediterranean mussel). Lineage: Eukaryota; Metazoa; Mollusca; Bivalvia; Mytilida; Mytilidae. The record is from RNAcentral.